UGGGGAAUUUUGGACAAUGGGCGAAAGCCUGAUCCAGCAAUGCCGCGUGUGUGAAGAAGGCCUUCGGGUUGUAAAGCACUUUUGUCCGGAAAGAAAUCCUCUGGGUUAAUACCUCGGGGGGAUGACGGUACCGGAAGAAUAAGCACCGGCUAACUACGUGCCAGCAGCCGCGGUAAUACGUAGGGUGCAAGCGUUAAUCGGAAUUACUGGGCGUAAAGCGUGCGCAGGCGGUUUUGUAAGACGGAUGUGAAAUCCCCGGGCUUAACCUGGGAACUGCAUUCGUGACUGCAAGGCUAGAGUAUGGCAGAGGGGGGUAGAAUUCCACGUGUAGCAGUGAAAUGCGUAGAGAUGUGGAGGAAUACCGAUGGCGAAGGCAGCCCCCUGGGCCAAUACUGACGCUCAUGCACGAAAGCGUGGGGAGCAAACAGGAUUAGAUACCCUGGUAGUCCACGCCCUAAAACGAUGUCAACUAGUUGUUGGGGAUUCAUUUCCUUAGUAACGUAGCUAACGCGUGAAGUUGACCGCCUGGGGGAGUACGGUCGCAAGAUUAAAACUCAAAUGAAUUGACGGGGUCAUAGCUGUUUCCU
RNAcentral lists this ribosomal RNA (587 nucleotides) under uncultured bacterium. Its description in RNAcentral is "partial 16S ribosomal RNA". It matches the Rfam family "Bacterial small subunit ribosomal RNA", at positions 355 to 1375 of the family's 1533-position model. The record is from RNAcentral.